AAUUGACUUAUUAAAUCUCAAUCAAUCAUUCUAAUAAAGGAAUAAAUCUUUUAAUUCGUUGAAUUGACAUUUUAGAUCUUAAUUACAAUAAUUGAUUUGCCGUAAAAUUAGUAAUCAAUUAUUCUAAUAAGGCAAUAAAUCAAUUCUAACAUAUAAUUCAUUAAAUUGACAUUUUAAAUUUUAAUUAAAAUAAUUGAUUUGUUACUACUAAAUUAGUAAUCAAUUAUUGCUAAUUCGGAAAAUUCAAACGAAAAAUUUUGAAAUUAGUUAAUCCACAAUAUCUAAUUUAAGUUUGCAUUUAGAUUAUUCUAAAAAUUGAAUUUGUGUGAUUUCUAGUGACUAUAUCCACUAACUAAUAGUGUCUAAGAAAAGCUUGUCAAAAAGGCAUACGUGCCUAAGAAAGGCUGGUACUUAAGUGAGCCUAGUGCUCCACCACCGAUCUGGAGCUGAUCUGGCUAUUAGUUUUUUGGAUAUAUCAAUUAGACAUCUAAAGUUCAAUAUAAAUAUUAGUGCAAUUUUUUGACAUAGAUUUUUUGCCUUCAAUCAGGUUUCUGUCUCUAUUCUGUAACCCUGAUCCUAUGGCCUCAAACACUAGUGACCAUCUUAGUGC
Molecule: long non-coding RNA, 610 nt
Filed under: Phoenix dactylifera (date palm)
Lineage: Eukaryota; Viridiplantae; Streptophyta; Magnoliopsida; Arecales; Arecaceae
Description: long non-coding RNA (PDAC_LNC009272)
Source: RNAcentral